RNAcentral lists this small nuclear RNA (287 nucleotides) under Camelus bactrianus (Bactrian camel). RNAcentral describes it as "7SK RNA". It matches the Rfam family "7SK RNA". Rfam says of the family: 7SK was discovered as an abundant small nuclear RNA in the mid-70s but a possible function has only recently been suggested. RNAcentral also lists the same sequence under 2 other names. Lineage: Eukaryota; Metazoa; Chordata; Mammalia; Artiodactyla; Camelidae. The record is from Rfam by way of RNAcentral.
GGAUGUGAGGGCGAUCUGGCUGCGACAUAUGUCACCCCAUUGAUUGCCAGGGUUGAUUCAGCUAGGCUGAUCUGGCUGGCUAAGCGGGUGUCCCCUUCCUCCCUCACCACUCCACGUGUGUCCCUCCCAGUGGAAGAGGACGACCAUCCUCGAUAGAGGAGGACCAUUCUACUUGGGCAAGGGUACAUGAGUAGCUGCAUUCUCCUGCUAGAACGUCCAAACAAGCUCUAACAUGUAAGUGAGAUGAUUUGGUAUUUUCUUUCUGUGUCUGGCUUAUUUCACUUCAC